RNAcentral lists this ribosomal RNA (455 nucleotides) under uncultured Methanosaeta sp. RNAcentral describes it as "bacterial SSU rRNA". It matches the Rfam family "Archaeal small subunit ribosomal RNA", at positions 883 to 1338 of the family's 1478-position model. The record is from RNAcentral. Lineage: Archaea; Methanobacteriati; Methanobacteriota; Methanomicrobia; Methanotrichales; Methanotrichaceae.
AACGGGUGGAGCUUGCGGUUUAAUUGGAUUCAACGCCGGAAAUCUUACCGGGACUGACAGCAAUAUGAAGGCCAGGCUGAAGACUUUGCCGGAUUAGCUGAGAGGUGGUGCAUGGCCGUCGUCAGUUCGUACUGUGAAGCAUCCUGUUAAGUCAGGCAACGAGCGAGACCCACGCCCACAGUUGCCAGCGUACUCUCUGGAGUGACGGGUACACUGUGGGACCGCCGCUGCUAAAGCGGAGGAAGGAAUGGGCAACGGUAGGUCAGUAUGCCCCGAAUAUCCCGGGCUACACGCGAGCUACAAUGGUUGGUACAAUGGGUAUCUACCCCGAAAGGGGACGGGAAUCUCCUAAAACCAAUCUUAGUUCGGAUUGAGGGCUGCAACUCGCCCUCAUGAAGCUGGAAUCCGUAGUAAUCGCGUUUCAACAGAACGCGGUGAAUACGUCCCUGCUCCUU